GGAUCAAUAUGCUGGUCGUGCCUUUGGUACGUACUGGCAUUAUUGGUUUCUCCUUUCUGAUGAAUCACGAUGUCAUUAAUUUGGUGUCAUGGGGAAUCAGGACUGUUACUUUGAAAAAAUUAGAGUGUUUAAAGCAGGCUUACGCUUGAAUACAUUAGCAUGGAAUAAUGAAAUAGGACGUUUAAUUCUAUUUUGUUGGUUUCUAGGAUUGACGUA
Molecule: unclassified non-coding RNA, 216 nt
Filed under: uncultured Glomus
Lineage: Eukaryota; Fungi; Glomeromycota; Glomeromycetes; Glomerales; Glomeraceae
Description: sequence contains 18S rRNA gene
Rfam family: Eukaryotic small subunit ribosomal RNA (bases 47-216)
Source: RNAcentral